GCCGACUUAGCUCAGGGGUAGAGCGUUUCCUUGGUAAGGAAGAGGUCGUGGGUUCAAAUCCCAUAGUUGGCU
Molecule: transfer RNA, 72 nt
Filed under: Cruoricaptor ignavus
Lineage: Bacteria; Pseudomonadati; Bacteroidota; Flavobacteriia; Flavobacteriales; Weeksellaceae
Rfam family: tRNA
About the family: Transfer RNA (tRNA) molecules are approximately 80 nucleotides in length. Their secondary structure includes four short double-helical elements and three loops (D, anti-codon, and T loops). Further hydrogen bonds mediate the characteristic L-shaped molecular structure. tRNAs have two regions of fundamental functional importance: the anti-codon, which is responsible for specific mRNA codon recognition, and the 3' end, to which the tRNAs corresponding amino acid is attached (by aminoacyl-tRNA synthetases). tRNAs cope with the degeneracy of the genetic code in two manners: having more than one tRNA (with a specific anti-codon) for a particular amino acid; and 'wobble' base-pairing, i.e. permitting non-standard base-pairing at the 3rd anti-codon position.
Source: Rfam by way of RNAcentral